UGGGCAGUCUGCCCUUCACUCUGGGACAAGCCCUGGAAACGGGGUCUAAUACCGGAUACCACUCCUGCCUGCAUGGGCGGGGGUUGAAAGCUCCGGCGGUGAAGGAUGAGCCCGCGGCCUAUCAGCUAGUUGGUGUGGGUAAUGGCCCACCAAGGCGACGACGGGUAGCCGGCCUGAGAGGGUGACCGGCCACACUGGGACUGAGACACGGCCCAGACUCCUACGGGAGGCAG
RNAcentral lists this ribosomal RNA (233 nucleotides) under uncultured bacterium. RNAcentral's name for it is "partial 16S ribosomal RNA". It matches the Rfam family "Bacterial small subunit ribosomal RNA", at positions 118 to 351 of the family's 1533-position model. The record is from RNAcentral.